RNAcentral lists this long non-coding RNA (984 nucleotides) under Homo sapiens (human). RNAcentral's name for it is "HSALNT0367752". The record is from RNAcentral. Lineage: Eukaryota; Metazoa; Chordata; Mammalia; Primates; Hominidae.
GUAAUAUCAGGCAAUUCACCUAGAAUUCAGAAAGCAACAAAUAGAACAAUUCCUCUCUCUUGGGACUUCAUUUUCUUGGAUCUGAAUUUUUAAGUCCUGAAGAUUCUGAAAUAUUCCAAAGGAUUAGGAGUUUAAAAUUCUCUCUUCCUCAUGGAGGAAAACCAGGAGAUAUACAAAGAGGUAUCCUGCUAGAGGAUCCCAGGCUAACGAUGGAUUAGGGAAGAACAGAUGAUGUGUCCAAGCGAGGAGGACAUAAGAGAAGCAAGGUGCCAAAUAAAGAAUGAGAGGUCAAAUGUAAUACAAUUUGCUGACUGUAAGGGGGAGAGUUUUUUUCCCCAAAAUGCCAAAGUACAUAAAGAUAAAGGUGAAAGUUUCCUCUCACCAGUUCCAGUGUUAACAGUGAGAGUUCUUGGGCAAGCCCUCCCCAAAUGACCGAAAUGGCCCUCCUGCUACUCCAGGACUACAUUUUACCAGCAUAGUGACAAAGUAAAAAGCAAAUGAUUAGUUCAAGCCAGUGAUGUGAAGGACACAAUUGGAGAUACUGGUUACUUUACAAAGCAUUUAACUGGAAUGGCAUAUUUUCCAUAAUGACCAGACUGCUUUGAGGAAUUAAGGUUGACUUAUAAAGCUCAAAAAAAGCUUCUUGGAAAGGCUGGUCUGGUAUGUUGUCUGCAAGGUUCCUUUACAAGUUCCCUGACCUUUGGUAACUAAGGAAUGUCACUUUCUGACAGUCCCAGGAACCUCAAAUUAUUUGAGCACUUUGAGGAAAGAGGAACUCACCCAAUUCAUACAGAUAUUGCAAUAGUCUGAUGGCAAAUCCUUGGCAUGGCUUCUAGCCUUGAGGCUUUUAAAAGUCUAAUCUGAGAUUCCUUAUGAAAAAGUUCCAGCAAAGUCAGUCUUAAAAGAGUUUAUAUGCAGCCUGAAUGACAUAGUAAGAAUCCCAUCUCUAAAAGAAGAAGAAAAAUAAAUAAAAAUAAAAAAGCC